Molecule: ribosomal RNA, 1439 nt
Filed under: uncultured bacterium
Lineage: Bacteria
Description: bacterial SSU rRNA
Rfam family: Bacterial small subunit ribosomal RNA
Source: RNAcentral
AGAGUUUGAUCAUGGCUCAGAACGUACGCUGGCGGCACGCCUAACACAUGCAAGUCGAACGAAGUAGCAAUACUUAGUGGCAGACGGGUGAGUAACAUGUAGGUAUCUGCCCUUUGGCCUGGAAUAACACGAGGAAACUUGUGCUAAUACUGGAUAAGUCUUUACGGAGAAAGCUUUAUGCACCAUUGGAUGAGCCUGCACUUGAUUAGUUUGUUGGUGGGGUAAUGGCCUACCAAGACUGUGAUCAAUAGCUGAUUUGAGAGGAUGAUCAGCCACAUUGGGACUGAGACACGGCCCAAACUCCUACGGGAGGCAGCAGUGGGGAAUCUUGCACAAUGGAGGAAACUCUGAUGCAGCGAUGCCGCGUGAGUGAAGAAGGCCUUUGGGUUGUAAAGCUCUUUCGUCGGGGAAGAAAAUGACUGUACCCGAAUAAGAAGGUCCGGCUAACUUCGUGCCAGCAGCCGCGGUAAUACGAAGGGACCUAGCGUAGUUCGGAAUUACUGGGCUUAAAGAGUUCGUAGGUGGUUGAAAAAGUUGGUGGUGAAAUCCCAGAGCUUAACUCUGGAACUGCCAUCAAAACUUUUCAGCUAGAGUAUGAUAGAGGAAAGCAGAAUUUCUAGUGUAGAGGUGAAAUUCGUAGAUAUUAGAAAGAAUACCAAUUGCGAAGGCAGCUUUCUGGAUCAUUACUGACACUGAGGAACGAAAGCAUGGGUAGCGAAGAGGAUUAGAUACCCUCGUAGUCCAUGCCGUAAACGAUGUGUGUUAGACGUUGGAAAUUUAUUUUCAGUGUCGCAGCGAAAGCGAUAAACACACCGCCUGGGGAGUACGACCGCAAGGUUAAAACUCAAAUGAAUUGACGGGGACCCGCACAAGUAGUGGAGCAUGUGGUUUAAUUCGAAGAUACGCGCAGAACCUUACCAACACUUGACAUGUUCGUCGCGACUUUAAGAGAUUAAAGUUUUCGGUUCGGCCGGACGAAACACAGGUGCUGCAUGGCUGUCGUCAGCUCGUGUCGUGAGAUGUUGGGUUAAGUCCCGCAACGAGCGCAACCCUCACUUUUAGUUGCCAUCAUUUAGUUGGGCACUCUGAAAGAACUGCCAGUGAUAAGCUGGAGGAAGGUGGGGAUGACGUCAAGUCCUCAUGGCCCUUACGUGUUGGGCUACACACGUGCUACAAUGGUAUCUACAACAGGAAGCAAAACCGCGAGGUUAAGCAAAUCCUUAAAAGAUACCUCAGUUCGGAUUGCACUCUGCAACUCGAGUGCAUGAAGCUGGAAUUACUAGUAAUCGUGGAUCAGCGUGCCACGGUGAAUGCGUUCCCGGGUCUUGUACACACCGCCCGUCACACCAUGGGAGUUGGUUCUACCUUAAGGCAAGGUUUUAAACCCUUGACCACGGUAUAGUCAGCGACUGGGGUGAAGUCGUAACAAGGUAACCGUA